UACGUAGGUGGCAAGCGUUGUCCGGAUUUACUGGGCGUAAAGCGCACGUAGGCGGACCAGUUAGUUGGGGGUGAAAUCCCGGGGCUCAACCCCGGAACUGCCUCCAAAACUGCUGGUCUGGAGGUCGAGAGAGGUGAGUGGAAUUCCGAGUGUAGAGGUGAAAUUCGUAGAUAUUCGGAGGAACACCAGUGGCGAAGGCGGCUCACUGGCUCGAUACUGACGCUGAGGUGCGAAAGCGUGGGGAGCAAACAGG
This 253-nucleotide ribosomal RNA is filed under the name uncultured bacterium. RNAcentral describes it as "partial 16S ribosomal RNA". It matches the Rfam family "Bacterial small subunit ribosomal RNA", at positions 524 to 776 of the family's 1533-position model. The record is from RNAcentral.